GCGUGAAUGGGGUAGUGGUAACCUUAAUCGUUGCCAGUCUUCAACUCGAUUAGCCAGGGGUUCGAUUCCCCUUUCACGCA
Molecule: transfer RNA, 80 nt
Filed under: Rhizoctonia solani
Lineage: Eukaryota; Fungi; Basidiomycota; Agaricomycetes; Cantharellales; Ceratobasidiaceae
Also listed under: 1 other name
Description: tRNA-Gly
Rfam family: tRNA
About the family: Transfer RNA (tRNA) molecules are approximately 80 nucleotides in length. Their secondary structure includes four short double-helical elements and three loops (D, anti-codon, and T loops). Further hydrogen bonds mediate the characteristic L-shaped molecular structure. tRNAs have two regions of fundamental functional importance: the anti-codon, which is responsible for specific mRNA codon recognition, and the 3' end, to which the tRNAs corresponding amino acid is attached (by aminoacyl-tRNA synthetases). tRNAs cope with the degeneracy of the genetic code in two manners: having more than one tRNA (with a specific anti-codon) for a particular amino acid; and 'wobble' base-pairing, i.e. permitting non-standard base-pairing at the 3rd anti-codon position.
Source: RNAcentral